This 243-nucleotide unclassified non-coding RNA is filed under the name Glomeraceae sp. RNAcentral's name for it is "partial contains 5.8S ribosomal RNA and internal transcribed spacer 2". The stretch from base 1 to 71 matches the Rfam family "5.8S ribosomal RNA", at positions 84 to 154 of the family's 154-position model. Lineage: Eukaryota; Fungi; Glomeromycota; Glomeromycetes; Glomerales; Glomeraceae. The record is from RNAcentral.
GUGAAUCAUCAAAUUUUUGAACGUAACUGGCACUCCCUGGUAUUCCAAGGAGUAUGCCUGUUUGAGGGUGGUAAGAAGAAAAAUCAUAGCAUCGCUCUUUUUUUUGAGGAUGAAUGCUUCGUAAUUGAGAAGUCUUUCAAAUGUUAAUUUAUGUUAAUGUAGCUUUUAAUACAUUCAUCAGGUACGAUUAAAGCGUAUUUAAGAUCAUUUUCGAUUAAGAACGCUCGAUGACGUACUGUCACA